GGAUGUGAGGGUGAUCUGGUUGUGACAUCUGUCACCCCAUUGAUCACCAGGGUUGAUUGGGCUGAUCUGGCAGUCUAGGCAAGUGGUCCCUUCCUCCCUUACCACCCCAUGUGCCUCCUUUUGAAGCUAUGUGCUUACUCGAAGAGGAUGGCCUUCCCCAAUAGAGGACUGUUCUUUGGUCAAGGGUAUAUGAAUAGCUGCGCUCCCUUUCUAGAAUUUAGAGUUUCUGAACAAACUCUCAAGGUCCAUUUGUAAGGGAACAUAAGGUUUUAUUAUAUUAUUUUUAAAAAAGACAUCACCUUUAUCUUGGGCUUUGAUGUCUC
RNAcentral lists this small nuclear RNA (323 nucleotides) under Vulpes vulpes (red fox). RNAcentral's name for it is "7SK RNA (ENSVVUG00000005886.1)". It matches the Rfam family "7SK RNA". From Rfam's summary of the family: 7SK was discovered as an abundant small nuclear RNA in the mid-70s but a possible function has only recently been suggested. Lineage: Eukaryota; Metazoa; Chordata; Mammalia; Carnivora; Canidae. The record is from Rfam by way of RNAcentral.